RNAcentral lists this long non-coding RNA (311 nucleotides) under Manihot esculenta (cassava). RNAcentral describes it as "long non-coding RNA (MESC_LNC001547)". The record is from RNAcentral. Lineage: Eukaryota; Viridiplantae; Streptophyta; Magnoliopsida; Malpighiales; Euphorbiaceae.
AAUAAGCUAAUUUCUCAAUGGCUCUCUUCUUCAUGCUCUGCUUCCCGCUGAGACCGUUGAUCGAGACAAAAAUAUUAUCGUUAUAAUGAUAAUAUGAAGAGAACAAGAAGAACAAAAUGCACCCUACCUCCUAUCUGCAUUGUAUUACCAAAUGAUAUGAUAAAGUAUGACAAUACCACUUUCUUGAGACCCAUAAAUUCCAAGCCUAACAAGUGGUGGUUCUCUAAAAUCUCUUUAUGUAAUGCUUUCUACGUUAAUAUUGUUGAUUACUCUAUCAAAACUAAUUUUGAUAAAAAGGAUUUCCAGAGGAU